GUACAGUAUUGAUCCUGGCUCAGGAGGUCCUAUAAGGUAACCAGUAUUGGAUCCCCUAAAGUUUGAUCCUGGCUCAGAAAGGCUGAACAAGGUAAACGGAUUUGGUUCCCCUAAAGUUUUAUCCUGGGUCCCUAAGGGAUCUAAAAGAAACCCUGGUUGUUUCCUCUUUAAUUUUUUCCCCCGCCCCGGAAUACUUAUGGGCCACCGAGGCGACAAACCCCUGCAAUUUUACCUACCUGAUCAGUCACACUGAAACUGAAACACGGACCAGACUCCUACGGGAGGCACCAGUGGGGAAUAUUGGACAAUGAUCUAAAGCCUGAGCCAACCGUGCGGCGGGUGUGAACAACGUCUUCGAAUUAUGGUUUCUUUUCGUUUGGCUCUAUUGGUAGGAAAUAAAAAACUUGCUGUUUUGAGUUCACCAACAGAAAAAACCCCGUCUAACUUCCUGCCAUAACCCGCGGUAAUCCGCAGGGGGCAAACGUUAAUCGCAAUUAUUGUCCGUAAAUAGCGCGUAUGUGGUUCGGCAAGUUGGUUGUUAAAGCCUCAGGCUCAACCUCGGAAUUGCCCCGUGGACUACUGAUCUAGACUACAGAACAUGGUGGUGGAAUUACCUGGUUAAAUUCAAGUGUGCAGAUAUAAUACGCAAAAAUAGGGAGGAACGCCACUUCCUUGGACUGACUUUUUGGCUUGUGUGCGACAUCGAUGGGGAGAAAACAAGAAAUAUACCCUGGUAGUCUACCCCGGAAACCCCCGCCCACAAACAAUUAGGAUCCUUGGUAUGUAGUGGCCCCCCCCUAAGGUGAGAAACCAACCCAUGAAGAGACCGCCGGGUCGGGACUUUCUUUAAUAUUAGUUAGAGUGUUAAGAGGGGAAGGGGGGUCGACUUCCUUGCGAGGCGGAGACUCGCAUAAUUAGAGGAAGGCCCGGGGGAAGGAGGGCGUCCUGUCGGUAUUAUACUGCAUUGAGGUAAGAGUGGGGGGGGAGCAAGCUUGAUUAAAUUCCUUGGUCGUCCACUCCAUAAAGAAUGUUGAGUAUUAGGGGGAUCCGCCACUUUUAGUGGAGCAGAUACCGUAAGAAGUCGACCCCCUGGGGAGGACGGCCAGAAGGUAAAAAAAAAAAAUAAACGGGGGGGCCCCCCACAAGUGGUGGAGCUUGUGUUUUAAUUAGCAACAACGAGAACAACCUCCCCUCUCCACAUCAUUCAAAAAACUUUCCAAUAAAGCCUUGGUGCUUUCGGGAAAUUUAACCCAGGUGUGCCAUGGCUGUGUUCAGCUCGUUUCGUGAGAGGUGGGGUAAAGUCCCGUAACGAGCGCAACCCUUGUCCUUAGAUACCGGCACUUCGGGGGGGCACUCUAAGGAGACUGCCGGUGACAAACCGGAGGAAGGUGGGGAUGUUCAAGAGUCAUCAUGGGCCUUACGGCCAGGGUUACACACGAGCUACAAUGGUCGUUACAGGGGGUUGACAAGCCCCGAGGGGGGGGUAAAAACGUAAACCCUAUGGGAGUCCGGAAAGCUGUCCCCAGCUCGAGAAAGUGAAAACAAGGUAACCAGUAAUGGUUCCUCCAAAGUUUGCCCCGGGCUCAGAAAGUGGCAACAAGGUAACCAGUAUUGGCUCCUUUAGAGUUUGACCCCGGCUCAGUAAGUCGUAACAAGGUAACCAGUAUGGUCCUCUAGAUU
This 1680-nucleotide ribosomal RNA is filed under the name Pseudomonas sp. IGCAR-4/07. Its description in RNAcentral is "partial 16S ribosomal RNA". It matches the Rfam family "Bacterial small subunit ribosomal RNA". Lineage: Bacteria; Pseudomonadati; Pseudomonadota; Gammaproteobacteria; Pseudomonadales; Pseudomonadaceae. The record is from RNAcentral.